This is a long non-coding RNA of Saccostrea cuccullata (small rock oyster), 318 nucleotides long. RefSeq lists it as uncharacterized. The record is from RefSeq and is a predicted model, not a curated record. The transcript has 3 exons. NCBI's taxonomy places the organism in Eukaryota, Metazoa, Mollusca, Bivalvia, Ostreida, Ostreidae.
GGUACUUUUGGUUCCAACUGUAGUGAAGGUUGUCCCCAAGGAUACUUUGGAAUGUUGUGUUGAGAAAAAUGUUCUUGCAAGGACGAUAUUUGUGACAGAGUAGUUGGUUGUCCAUCAAUAAAAGAUUGGUCUGUUUCAUCUUCCCUUACUUCAACAUCAGUCAAGGAAAUUUUGUCGACUGGUAUGAUAUCAUCCUCAUAUUGGAAAAAUACACUUUUCACAGUGAUGGGGUCUGUUGGAACACUUUGUGUUGUUAUAAUGAUGUACUUUGUUAAAAAAUGGUACAACAGAAUAAAAACCCGAGAUGCUGGCAGCCGC